CCCUCAGAUGUUCUGGGCCGCACGCGUGCUACACUGAGUGGAUCAGCGGGUCAGGUUGCGCGAAAGCGUUUCCUAAUCUUUAAAUCCGCUCGUGAUGGGGAUUGACGGUUGCAAUUUUCUGUCAUGAACGAGGAAUACCUUGUAAGCGCGGGUCAUCAUCCCGCGCUGAAUACGUCCCUGCCCUUUGUACACACCGCCCGUCGCUCCUACCGAUUGAAUGGCUUAGUGAGCCUUUGGGAUUGGCAGCUUGUACCGGCAACGGUAGCAGGCCGCUGAAAACUUAGGCAAACUUGGUCAUUUAGAGGAAGUAAAAGUCGUAACA
RNAcentral lists this ribosomal RNA (322 nucleotides) under uncultured eukaryote. RNAcentral's name for it is "partial 18S ribosomal RNA". It matches the Rfam family "Eukaryotic small subunit ribosomal RNA", at positions 1470 to 1796 of the family's 1831-position model. The record is from RNAcentral.